CCCAGACUCCUACGGGAGGCAGCAGUGAGGGAUAUUGGGCAAUGGGGGAAACCCUGACCCAGCGACGCCGCGUGAGGGAAGACGGUCUUCGGAUUGUAAACCUCUGUCUUUGGGGACGAAAAAGGACGGUACCCAAGGAGGAAGCUCCGGCUAACUACGUGCCAGCAGCCGCGGUAAUACGUAGGUGGCAAGCGUUGUCCGGAUUUACUGGGUGUAAAGGGCGUGCAGCCGGAGAGACAAGUCAGAUGUGAAAUCCACGGGCUCAACCCGUGAACUGCAUUUGAAACUGUUUCCCUUGAGUGUCGGAGAGGUAAUCGGAAUUCCUUGUGUAGCGGUGAAAUGCGUAGAUAUAAGGAGGAACACCAGUGGCGAAGGCGGAUUACUGGACGAUAACUGACGGUGAGGCGCGAAAGCGUGGGGAGCAAACAGGAUUAGAUACCCCAGUAA
RNAcentral lists this ribosomal RNA (447 nucleotides) under uncultured bacterium. RNAcentral describes it as "bacterial SSU rRNA". It matches the Rfam family "Bacterial small subunit ribosomal RNA", at positions 330 to 793 of the family's 1533-position model. The record is from RNAcentral.